UUCAUAGAGCCAUUCAACUUCAGCUUCUCCAGCAUUAGCGGUUGGAGCAUAGACUUGGAUUGCUGUGAUGUUGAAUGGUUUGCCUUGGAAAUGAACCGAGAUCACGCUGUCGUUUUUGAGACUGUUCCUGUGUUUCAUGCACAUGUAUCAAUGUUUGUUUUCUUGAUGAGUCGCUGCCUUUAUCAUGAUACACUGUCUGUCUUUGUCCCUUGUUGACUCUUUUUGGCUGAAGUCUGUUUUGUCUGCUGUGACUAUAGGUGCUGCUGCAGCGCCUAUGUUUUGGCUGCCCUGUGCUCGGCGUCAUCUUCCAUCCGUCCACUGUGAGCCUGGGUUUGCCCUGAGAGCUGAGAUCAGUCUCCUGGAGGCAGCAUAUAUCUAGCCAGCCACUGUGUGUCUUUUGAUUGGUAAAUUAAGUCUAGCCUUCCCUUAUGGCUCAGAUGGUAAAGAAUCUGCCUGCAAUGCAGGAUACCCAGGUUCAGUCCCUGAGGGGAGAUCCCCUGGAGAAGGGAAUGGCACCCCACUCCAGUAUUCUUGCCUGGAGAAUCCCGUGGGCAGAGGAGCCUAGCAGGAUACAGUCCAUAGGAUCUCAAAGAGUCAGACACGACUGAGCAACUAACUGCAUUUAGGGUGACUACUCAUAAAUGAGGAUUUAGUAUUCCCAUUUAAUCUUUUGUUUUCCAGUUGGUUUGGUGGCUUUCUAUAUUAUUUUUCUCGGUUUCCUCUUUUGUAUAGUUUUUGUUUGUGCUCUAGUUUUAUGUGGUUUUCUUUGGUUAACACGAGGUUUGUAUAAAAUAUACCAUGGAUAAAAUAGUCCUUUUAAAAGAAAUAUCCAUUUAUUUAUUUUGCUGAAUCAGGGCCUAGCUGCAGGCUCAGUAGCUGUGGUGCAUGGGCUUAGUUGUCCCACUGCAUGUAGGACCUUAGUUCCCCAGCCAGGGAUUGAACCCACGCCCCCUGCAUUGGAAGGCACAGUCUUCAACACUGGUCCACCAAGGAAGUCCCCAAAUAGUCCUUUCUAUGGCUAAUGGUAUCUUAUCUUCAUUUGCCUAUACAGGUUCAUCCUUUUUCUCUUCCCAUUUUACAUUUUUGUUUUCUCAUAUUAUUCCUUUUUAUGUUGUGUUUGUUACCAAAUUGAAAUAACUGUAUUUUUUAUACUUUUUUGCCUUUAAUGUUUAUGCUAUAAAAAUUAGGUGUUUAAAAACCUAUUCUAAUGCAAAGUUGCAGUUUUCUGAUUCUAUUUAUCAUCUUUCUCAAAGGUUUAUGUAUUUUGAUUGUUUUGUUUCUGGUAGUAGAGCUUUCAACAUAUCUUAUAAGGAAGGUGAGUGUUGAUGAAUUCCUUCAGCUUAUGUUUAUCUGGGAAAGUCUUUAUAUCUGAAUGACAACGUCACUGGAUAUAGUGUUUGUGGGUGAUACUUUUUAUCUUUCAGUAUUUUGAGAAUGUCCUUCCACUCGCUUCUGGCCUGCAGGGUUUCUGCUGAGAAAUCUGCUGAUGACCUAAUGGGGGUUCCUUUAUACAACAGGUUAGAAGCCAGAGGCCUCUCGUUUGUUUCCAGAAGGUGGCACUCUAGCACACCAGGGCUGAUCUAGCUCCUGCUGCUGUGCAUGCAAGUCUGGUAUACCUCUCUCAUCUUCAGUCCCCACAGUACAGCUCCAUCUCUCAAGGUGACCAAUCAGCCAUUUGAUGGCAAAUAGUUACACUGGAUGAUUUUCUCUCUUUAAUUUACUCAGUGUCAGUGAUGUGUUUUUCAUUUAUAAGUUCUGUUUCCUGGAGUAAGGCGUACUGUCUAAGAAGUUAAGCCUUAGAAGUAAGAGCAAAACUGGAACAGAUCAGUGUCUUGGCCAGGCCACUGAGGUCUCAGAGAGUAUCUGAUUUAAUGUAAUUUAGUGUAAUAGGUUCCACUUGGCAUUGCCUCAGACCAAGGGGCCUACUUUAUGGCAAAUGAGUUGUUGCAAUGUAUAUGUGACUGUGGAAUCCACUGGACUUACCAUUCACCACUGCACGCAGAAGAUGCUGCCUUUAAAGAAUGUGAGAAUGUCUCUUAAACAUGCAGCUAAGGCAUCAGGCUGGGAGUGGGGAGCUGCCCUCCUAGAUGAGACAUGUGUUUUGAGCUGAAGGCCAUUGUAAGGUGCUGUUCCUUAGCAGUGAGCUAGAACGCAUAGGUCUGAGAGCCAAGAGGAGGAAGUGGGCACACCCACUCUCACCACGCCUCCUGGUUUCCAGUUCGGGAAAAUGAGGCAUCCUGUCCGUAAAACUUUCCCCUGUGUUGGGCCAGAGAUCCUUGUUGCCUGAAAGAAGAAAGGAAACUGGUUGCCAGACUGAGGCCAGGUCGGAGCACCAGGAUCAGAUCGUUGAAGGAGUUCAGGAGGAUGGGAAGGAGCAGGAGUCGGGAAAGGGCGGCCCGGAAGAGGAGGCCGCACAUACGCCUGGACGACCAGGAGCCGGGAGGCUGAUCUCUGCAGAGGGAGGCAUCGAAUCAGAAAGGCACCUUCACCGCAGAAGGCCACACCCCCAGGGCCACACCCCCAGGCGGUAAACUGGAAAACGCAAUACUCAGUACUGGCCACGACUACAGCAAGGGUAGGAGUAUUUGCCUGGGCUCUGAGGGGAAGGAGAAAACGAAUAGAAAACGUUCCUGCUCUCAGAAUUCCAAAGCACAGCAGCUCACGGUGGGUCUGGGGCCAGAAGCCGCUGUGCUCAGGGAGGAGAAAAGUCAAAAUUUAGUCUAAAGACAUCUCAGUGUGACAGGUGCCCGUCAGAAACAAGCUCUGAAGGACAAAGCAUUGUCAAAUCCUGGCCUUUUACAAGUUUCACAAAUAAAUUUCUAAGGCACUUGAGCUUAAAAUCAAAAACCACAAAACGCACAAGAGGAUAAACCACGUUGAACCGUGUCAGCAACAAAAAGCAAAAUUAGAGCUUAAAAAACAAUAGGCAUAGGAGUAACAUGCGUGCUGAUAUGACACGCUGCAAAAUGCUUCACCAAGCCUUGGCGUGUGCCCACACCCUAUUGCAACCGUGAUAAACCAUCAUUUCACCAAUUUGUUCUCUAUUACCAAACUUGACGGCAUCAUCUGUUUUCUGCUGGGACCCUGUUCGAAUAAAUUGAUUAGUUCCUGGACCCUUUACCCAUCUUUGUUAAUAUGUGGAUGACACUUCAUUUUUAUUAUAUCUUUCCAGUUCUGUAUCAGUGGUGUAACGAAUCUAGUUCUUAUUGCUGGUGUCUACUGGUGUUUGCUUUUGCGGAACUCUCUUAUCAGUUCUAUUAAUUCGUAUGUUGAUUCUGUGGGUUUUCACUGGGUAAAUGGAUGAUCAUACAAUAUUUGAAUAGUAAAAAUUUAUCUUUUUUCCUUUCAUGUU
Long non-coding RNA from Bubalus bubalis (water buffalo), 3352 nucleotides. RefSeq lists it as uncharacterized. NCBI's taxonomy places the organism in Eukaryota, Metazoa, Chordata, Mammalia, Artiodactyla, Bovidae. The record is from RefSeq and is a predicted model, not a curated record. The transcript has 2 exons.